This 354-nucleotide ribosomal RNA is filed under the name uncultured bacterium. RNAcentral's name for it is "bacterial SSU rRNA". It matches the Rfam family "Bacterial small subunit ribosomal RNA", at positions 8 to 350 of the family's 1533-position model. The record is from RNAcentral.
AGAGUUUGAUCCUGGCUCAGGAUGAACGCUAGCUACAGGCUUAACACAUGCAAGUCGAGGGGAAACGACAUCGAAAGCUUGCUUUUGAUGGGCGUCGACCGGCGCACGGGUGAGUAACGCGUAUCCAACCUGCCCAUCACUUGGGGAUAACCUUGCGAAAGUAAGACUAAUACCCAAUGAUAUCUCUAGAAGGCAUCUGAAAGAGAUUAAAGAUUUAUCGGUGAUGGAUGGGGAUGCGUCUGAUUAGCUUGUUGGCGGGGUAACGGCCACCAAAGCAACGAUCAGUAGGGGUUCUGAGAGGAAGGUCCCCCGACAUUGGAACUGACGACACGGUCCAAACGUCCUACGGAGGCA